RNAcentral lists this ribosomal RNA (1165 nucleotides) under synthetic construct. RNAcentral's name for it is "bacterial SSU rRNA". It matches the Rfam family "Bacterial small subunit ribosomal RNA", at positions 116 to 1295 of the family's 1533-position model. The record is from RNAcentral.
CGUGACCGACCUGCCCCAUACACCGGAAUAGCUCCUGGAAACGGGUGGUAAUGCCGGAUGCUCCAGUUGAUCGCAUGGUCUUCUGGGAAAGCUUUCGCGGUAUGGGAUGGGGUCGCGUCCUAUCAGCUUGACGGCGGGGUAACNGCCCACCGUGGCUUCNACGGGUAGCCGGNCUGAGAGGGCGACCGGCCACAUUGGGACUGANAUACGGCCCANACUCCUACGGGAGGCAGCAGUGGGGAAUAUUGCACAAUGGGCGCAAGCCUGAUGCAGCGACCCCNCGUGAGGGAUGGAGGCCUUCNGGUUGUAAACCUCUUUUAUCGGGGAGCAAGCGAGAGUGAGUUUACCCGUUGAAUAAGCACCGGCUAACUACNUGCCAGCAGCCGCGGUAAUACGUAGGGUGCAAGCGUUAUCCGGAAUUAUUGGGCGUAAAGGGCUCGUAGGCGGUUCGUCGCGUCCGGUGUGAAAGUCCAUCGCUUAACGGUGGAUCCGCGCCGGGUACGGGCGGGCUUGAGUGCGGUAGGGGAGACUGGAAUUCCCGGUGUAACGGUGGAAUGUGUAGAUAUCGGGAAGAACACCAAUGGCGAAGGCAGGUCUCUGGGCCGUUACUGACGCUGAGGAGCGAAAGCGUGGGGAGCGAACAGGAUUAGAUACCCUGGUAGUCCACGCCGUAAACGGUGGAUGCUGGAUGUGGGGCCCGUUCCACGGGUUCCGUGUCGGAGCUAACGCGUUAAGCAUCCCGCCUGGGGAGUACGGCCGCAAGGCUAAAACUCAAAGAAAUUGACGGGGGCCCGCACAAGCGGCGGAGCAUGCGGAUUAAUUCGAUGCAACGCGAAGAACCUUACCUGGGCUUGACAUGUUCCCGACGGUCGUAGAGAUACGGCUUCCCUUCGGGGCGGGUUCACAGGUGGUGCAUGGUCGUCGUCAGCUCGUGUCGUGAGAUGUUGGGUUAAGUCCCGCAACGAGCGCAACCCUCGCCCCGUGUUGCCAGCGGAUUAUGCCGGGAACUCACGGGGGACCGCCGGGGUUAACUCGGAGGAAGGUGGGGAUGACGUCAGAUCAUCAUGCCCCUUACGUCCAGGGCUUCACGCAUGCUACAAUGGCCGGUACAACGGGAUGCGACGCGGCGACGCGGAGCGGAUCCCUGAAAACCGGUCUCAGUUCG